This 380-nucleotide ribosomal RNA is filed under the name uncultured bacterium. RNAcentral's name for it is "bacterial SSU rRNA". It matches the Rfam family "Bacterial small subunit ribosomal RNA", at positions 28 to 416 of the family's 1533-position model. The record is from RNAcentral.
GGUAAACGCUGGCGGCGUGCCUAAAACAUGCAAGUCGAACGGGCAGUCUUCGGAUUGUCAGUGGCAGACGGCUGAGUAACGCGUGGGUGACGUACCUAUCGGUGGGAAUAACUGCCCGAAAGGGUGGCUAAUACCGCAUACGUCCACUGCUUCGUGGCAGUGGGGAAAACCGCAAGGUGCCGAUGGAGCGGCCCGCGUUCGAUUAGCUGGUUGGUGGGGUAACGGCCUACCAAGGCGACGAUCGAUAGCUGGUCUCAGAGGAUGAUCAGCCAGACUGGGACUGAGACACGGCCCAGACUCCUACGGGAGGCAGCAGUUAGGAAUUUUGGGGCUAAUGGGCGCAAGCCUGACCCAGCAACGCCGCGUGGGUGACGAAGGCC